Molecule: long non-coding RNA, 750 nt
Organism: Delphinapterus leucas (beluga whale)
Lineage: Eukaryota; Metazoa; Chordata; Mammalia; Artiodactyla; Monodontidae
Source: RefSeq, a predicted model, not a curated record
AACUCCAGAUUCUUAAAUAAUAUCUCGUAGUCACUCAGGGUCCACAGCAGACGACCUUCUUCAGCUUCUACAAUUAUCAAUUUCCGGCCCGCACCUGUAACAGGCUCGCCUCCCCCGUACGCCCUUGGUAAAAGCUUCGCGCUAUGGGUGUGAAAGCCUAGAGGUUCUAUUUCUCCUAUUUAACCCGGAGAACCGGAGGCUGGGGAGAGGAUGCCUGGGCCGUCGGCUCCCGCCUUCUUCCCCCGCAUCCUCCGUCAUGAUUCCACCUUUAAAGGGAUCGGAACGACGUUCCAGAAAGCAGCCAAAGCCUGUCGUGUAGCCACAACUUUCAGGACCAAGAUGAACCUAAAGUGGACAAUAAAAUGGAUGUUGGAAGUGUGAAAGCAGUGAACUUGAUGGAGGAGAAAAGAGGUCACAAAUUUAGUGUUUUUGACUUUGCCAGUACACUAAGAACUAAAGCUCAGAGAGGACGGGAACUGUUGUAUUCUGAGGGCCUGGGUCUGUAUUUGUCACUGUUAUGUGGAAUGAGUGAACAGAUGGAUGGACGCAGUACAGAAAAAAUAAGAAAACAGUCUUGGCCACUAAAAGAACAUUUACCCUGAAAAACUAAUCACCAUCAUUGUGAAGUACAUUAUUCCUGAUUUAAGAAUCUCCUUCUCGGGGCUUCCCUGGUGACGCAGUGGUUGAGAAUCUACCUGCCAAUAUAGGGGACACGGGUUCGAGCCCUGGUCUGGGAAGAUCCCACAUGCC